AUUGGGACAUAUAAAAAAAGACAACUCUGUUCCACAGAGUAGCUGUUGACAUUAUAGUUGCACAGGAACUUUGUUGACUCUAGAGAACCUCGGGCAAAUCGCACAUCCCCAUGGUGGCUACUUUGCAUGCGGAUGUCAUCCAUAUCAACUUCCGAUGCCAGUUUCUGCGCCUACCAUGGUGACCACGGGUAACGGGGAAUCAGGGUUCCAUUCCGUACAGGGACCCUGAAAAACGGCUACCACAUGCAAGGAAGGCAGCAGGCG
Molecule: non-coding RNA, 264 nt
Organism: Pelobates cultripes (western spadefoot toad)
Lineage: Eukaryota; Metazoa; Chordata; Amphibia; Anura; Pelobatidae
Source: the annotation of a GenBank genome assembly